Molecule: ribosomal RNA, 493 nt
Filed under: uncultured bacterium
Lineage: Bacteria
Description: partial 16S ribosomal RNA
Rfam family: Bacterial small subunit ribosomal RNA
Source: RNAcentral
AGUGAACGCUGGCGGUAGGCCUAACACAUGCAAGUCGAACGGCAGCACAGUAAGAGCUUGCUCUUACGGGUGGCGAGUGGCGGACGGGUGAGGAAUACAUCGGAAUCUACUUUUUCGUGGGGGAUAACGUAGGGAAACUUACGCUAAUACCGCAUACGACCUACGGGUGAAAGCAGGGGAUCUUCGGACCUUGCGCGAUUGAAUGAGCCGAUGUCGGAUUAGCUAGUUGGCGGGGUAAAGGCCCACCAAGGCGACGAUCCGUAGCUGGUCUGAGAGGAUGAUCAGCCACACUGGAACUGAGACACGGUCCAGACUCCUACGGGAGGCAGCAGUGGGGAAUAUUGGACAAUGGGCGCAAGCCUGAUCCAGCCAUACCGCGUGGGUGAAGAAGGCCUUCGGGUUGUAAAGCCCGUUUUGUUGGGAAAGAAAAGCAGCAGGUUAAUACCCCGCUGUUCUGACGGUACCCAAAGAAUAAGCACCGGCUAACUUCGUG